Molecule: ribosomal RNA, 337 nt
Filed under: uncultured bacterium
Lineage: Bacteria
Description: partial 16S ribosomal RNA
Rfam family: Bacterial small subunit ribosomal RNA
Source: RNAcentral
CCUACGGGUGGCAGCAGUGGGGAAUAUUGCGCAAUGGUCGAAAGCCUGACGCAGCGACGCCGCGUGAGGGAUGAAGGUCUUCGGAUCGUAAACCUCUGUCAGCAGGGAAGCACGGUCACUGUGCUAAUCAGCAGUGAAUUGACGUUACCUGCAAAGGAAGCACCGGCUAACUCCGUGCCAGCAGCCCCGGUAAUACGGAGGGGGCGAGCGUUAAUCGGAAUUACUGGGCGUAAGGCGCUCGUAGGCGGUAUGUCAAGUCAAGGGGGAAAUCCCCGCGGCCAACGUGGGAACUGCCUUUGAAACUGGCAAACUGGAGUGUGAGAGAGGAUAGUGGAAU